AGAGAACACUUGGAAAACCCGAUAAAGCUCCAGGCAUGGCUUUUGCUAGCUCAAAGACCCCUAGGGCAACAGCAAAGGCACCUCCUGUCACAGCGAGAAAUGGGGUUGAUCGGAUACCUCCUGUUUCCUGCAAUACUUGUUAAUGCUGCCUCAGAUAAGGCCUCCUGCUUCAACAAGCAAUGGGUCCGUUGGUGGUAGCAAGCAAAGGCCCCAAGUCACCCUGAAAGAGCGUGCAGCUAGAAGAGUGGUAUGUUACAUGCUUGUAAUUCCAAAAUAUCCAUGAACUUUCUGUAGUUUAGCUGUCUACCCCUAACUAGAGGUUUAGGAUUUGUGGGAUGCUUGCUACAUUCACCAGGAUGCUAUAAUUGUAGUGAACCAUUUCUUGCAUUUACCGAUAAUUAGCUUACUUGUGAAACCUUAUUGCGGAACUGCACAGAACUAAUUAAAAAAGCUCCAGUUAGAUAAUUUUGUUAUCUUUUAGGGGAACAAAGCUGGCCACUUGCUUGUAUAAGGGCACUGGAACGGCAGGUGGGACUUGACUGUUUAGUCGGUGCUACUGGCAUUGCUUGGUGGAAGGGCAUAUGUAAAAAAAUGUUUUCGCUUCUCCAACGUAUGGCGGAGGGCAUUUUGUAGAUAAGAUAUACCAGUAGCAAGUAAUUUGUGCUGUAGUCUUAACAAGGGUGACGUGGCAUACGGUAUGGGUGCCAACAGAAAGCGACCACAUCCGCAACGCAAGACCGCAACCGAGUUGCUUUUGCUGGCUGCCCCAAGCUUGGUCUCGAUUCUGGGAAAUACUUACUACGUAGCCGACUGGCCGUGCCUUAGAGACAAAGGCAGAGAAAGAGAUGAGCGUCACCUUAGCCGCGUGAGCAAAUCACACGGACGGAACCACAAAAUCACGGUAGCUACCGGCAGGCUUACGCCGCUGAUCCGGACCGGAGGCAACCACAACCUCACCUUGGGGCUGCCCCAACCCUGUGCACUCGAUUUAUAAGUGUCCCAUCUCAGCCAUGAAGUGUGCAACACCAUCCGUUGAUCUUUGGACACGGACAAAGCAAUCUCGUUGGAUCCCAUGCAGAAGACUCUUCGUCUCCUCCAUCAUGCCAGCCAACGAAGAUCACUUGGUACUCCUGUUUGAGAGAGCAUCCACUACUUUGCAAUCUAGUUCAAUGAUCAAUGACAUGUCCGUCCGCUGCACCGUCAGGGCAUACCCUCCAGACACGCUGCAAUUUCUACCUCCAUCUGGGAUCUAUAUGAGUGAAGGAAACUGACACUUGAGAAAAUGAUGGCUCAUGUGUCGUUCCUUAAAACCAUGUCAGCUCUAGUGCUUUGGUCGACAUCGUCUGAACUGUCCACAUUUAACAUAGACCAUCCCGAGUCAGGUUUGUUUCAGGGUAAUCCUGCUACCCCAGUUGUGGAAGAGCUGGGCAUUUCGUUUGCCAACCUGCAACAUACUCUAUAGUGGAAAUGAUUGGUUAAAUGCCAAAAUGUGGCACACUCAUAUUUAGUGAAGCCAAAAAGUUAACUAUUGAUUGGUUGAUGACCAAAAGUGUAUAGUACAUCGUCUAUCCCUUGAAGGGACAAGAAUAAUGAGUUUUUCGAUGAA
Molecule: long non-coding RNA, 1606 nt
Organism: Hordeum vulgare subsp. vulgare (domesticated barley)
Lineage: Eukaryota; Viridiplantae; Streptophyta; Magnoliopsida; Poales; Poaceae
Exons: 3
Source: RefSeq, a predicted model, not a curated record